UGUUGCUGACAUUGCAACAUCCAUCAGGAAGCACACAAGUCUGUCUAUUCCUUGGCCCUUUGAGGCAGAAGGUUUUGUCACCGAGGCUCGAUUUGAAUACGUGAGGAACAGACCUACUCUUGUUUCUCUCAUCCACGGCUACUUGAACAUCUGGGUACCUUUCUCAACUACGCCUGCCAUUUCUAUGCCAGUGCCAGGUGCAGUGGCUUCCCAAGGCUCCCCACCAGCCGUGAAGAGUCCAACCUUAAUUUGCUUUGAUGACGGGAAGCAUGCAAGAGUCCUGGAAGCUGAGUCCUGGGGGUGCCACCUGGCCGUGGAUUGCUGAGGACGGCGGAGUUGUCAUAAGAAGUCUGUUGUCCCUGUCCGUACAAGAGAUCACCUUGCUCUCCACCUGGGGGUCGGACGUGGAGGGUUCUGGAAGCCGUGUUUGCUGCAGUCUGUUUCAUGCCCCUGGAGCACUCAUGAAGGCGGAGUUGUCAUAAGAAGCCUGUUGUCCCCGUCCCUACAAGAGACCACCCUACUCUCCACCUGGGAUUAGGACGAGGCGGGUCCAGGAAGCCGUGUUUGCUGCAGUCUGUUUCAUGCCCCUGAGGCACUCAUGAAGGCGGAGUUGUCAUAGGAAGCCUGUUGUCCCCGUCCCCACAAAAGACCACCCUACUCUCCACCUGGGAUUAGGACGAGGCGGGUCCUGGAAGCCGUGUUUGCUGCAGUCUGUUUCAUGCCCCUGGGGCACUCAUGAAGGCGGAGUUGUCAUAAGAAGCCUGUUGUCCCCGCCCCUAUAAGAGACCACCUUGCUCUCCACGUGGGAUUAGGACGAAGCGGGUCCUGGAAGCCGUGUUUGCUGCAGUCUGUUUCAUGCCCCUGGGGCACUCAUGAAGGAGGAGGUGUCAUAAGAAGCCUGUUGUCCCCGUCCCUACAAGGGACCACCCUACUCUGCACCUGGGAUUAGGACGAGGCGGAUCCUGGAAGCCGUGUUUGCUGCAGUCUGUUUCAUGCCCCUGCGGCACUCAUGAAGGCGGAGUUGUCAUAGGAAGCCUGUUGUCCCCGUCCCCACAAGAGACCACCCAACUCUCCACCUGGGAAUAGGACGAGGCGGGUCCUGGAGCCGUGUUUGCUGCAGUCUGUUUCAUGCCCCUGGGGCACUCAUGAAGGCGGAGUUGUCAUAGGAAGCCUGUUGUCCCCGUCCCCACAAGAGACCACCCUACUCUCUACCUGGGAUUAGGACGAGGCGGGUCCUGGAAGCCGUGUUUGCUGCAGUCUGUUUCAUGCCCCUGGGGCACUCAUGAAGGCGGAGUUGUCAUAGGAAGCCUGUUGUCCCCGUCCCCACAAGAGACCACCCUACUCUCCACCUGGGAUUAGGACGAGGCGGGUCCUGGAAGCCGUGUUUGCUGCAGUCUGUCUCAUGCCCCUGGGGUACUCAUGAAGGCGGAGUUGUCAUAGGAAGCCUGUUGUCUCCGUCCCCACAAGAGACCACCCUACUCUCCACCUGGGAUUAGGACGAGUCGGGUCCUGGAAGCCGUGUUUGCUGCAGUCUGUUUCAUGCCCCUGGGGCACUCAUGAAGGCGGAGUUGUCAUAAGAAGCCUGUUGUCCCCGUCCCUAUAAGAGACCACCUUGCUCUCCACGUGGGAUUAGGACGAAGCGGGUCCUGGAAGCCGUGUUUGCUGCAGUCUGUUUCAUGCCCCUGGGGCACUCAUGAAGGCGGAGUUGUCAUAGGAAGCCUGUUGUCCCCGUCCCCACAAGAGACCACCCUACUCUCCACCUGGGAUUAGGACGAGGCGGGUCCUGGAAGCCGUGUUUGCUGCAGUCUGUUUCAUGCCCCUGGGGCACUCAUGAAGGCGGAGUUGUCAUAGGAAGCCUGUUGUCCCCGUCCCCACAAGAGACCACCCUACUCUCCACCUGGGAUUAGGACGAGGCGGGUCCUGGAAGCCGUGUUUGCUGCAGUCUGUUUCAUGCCCCUGGGGCACUCAUGAAGGCGGAGUUGUCAUAGGAAGCCUGUUGUCCCCAUCCCCACAAGAGACCACCCAACUCUCCACCUGGGAAUAGGACGAGGCGGGUGCUGGAGCCGUGUUUGCUGCAGUCUGUUUCAUGCCCCUGGGGCACUCAUGAAGGCGGAGUUGUCAUAGGAAGCCUGUUGUCCCCGUCCCCACAAGAGACCACCCUACUCUCCACCUGGGAUUAGGACGAGGCGGGUCCUGGAAGCCGUGUUUGCUGCAGUCUGUUUCAUGCCCCUGGGGCACUCAUGAAGGCGGAGUUGUCAUAAGAAGCCUGUUGUCCCCGUCCCCACAAGAGACCACCCUACUCUCCACCUGGGAUUAGGACGAGGCGGGUCCUGGAAGCCGUGUUUGCUGCAGUCUGUCUCAUGCCCCUGGGGCACUCAUGAAGGCGGAGUUGUCAUAAGAAGUCUGUUGUCCCCGUCCCCACAAGAGACCACCCAACUCUCCACCUGGGAUUAGGACGAGGCGGGUCCUGGAAGCCGUGUUUGCUGCAGUCUGUUUCAUGCCCCUGGGGCACUCAUGAAGGCGGAGUUGUCAUAAGAAGUCUGUUGUCCCAGUCCCCACAAGAGACCACCCAACUCUCCACCUGGGAAUAGGACGAGGCGGGUGCUGGAGCCGUGUUUGCUGCAGUCUGUUUCAUGCCCCUGGGGCACUCAUGAAGGCGGAGUUGUCAUAGGAAGCCUGUUGUCCCCGUCCCCACAAGAGACCGCCCUACUCUCCACCUGGGAUCAGGACGAGGCGGGUCCUGGAAGCCGUGUUUGCUGCAGUCUGUUUCAUGCCCCUGGGGCACUCAUGAAGGAGGAGUUGUCAUAAGAAGCCUGUUGUCCCCGUCCCCACAAGAGACCACCCUACUCUCCACCUGGGAUUAGGACGAGGCGGGUCCUGGAAGCCGUGUUUGCUGCAGUCUGUUUCAUGCCCCUGGGGCACUCAUGAAGGCGGAGUUGUCAUAAGAAGCCUGUUGUCCCCGUCCCCACAAGAGACCACCCAACUCUCCACCUGGGAUUAGGACGAGGCGGGUCCUGGAAGCCGUGUUUGCUGCAGUCUGUUUCAUGCCCCUGGGGCACUCAUGAAGGCGGAGUUGUCAUAAGAAGUCUGUUGUCCCAGUCCCCACAAGAGACCACCCAACUCUCCACCUGGGAAUAGGACGAGGCGGGUGCUGGAGCCGUGUUUGCUGCAGUCUGUUUCAUGCCCCUGAGGCACUCAUGAAGGCGGAGUUGUCAUAGGAAGCCUGUUGUCCCCGUCCCCACAAGAGACCAUCCUACUCUCCACCUGGGAAUAGGACGAGGCGGGUGCUGGAGCCGUGUUUGCUGCAGUCUGUUUCAUGCCCCUGGGGCACUCAUGAAGGCGGAGUUGUCAUAGGAAGCCUGUUGUCCCCGUCCCCACAAGAGACCACCCUACUCUCCACCUGGGAUUAGGACGAGGCGGGUCCUGGAAGCCGUGUUUGCUGCAGUCUGUUUCAUGCCCCUGGGGCACUCAUGAA
Long non-coding RNA from Pipistrellus kuhlii (Kuhl's pipistrelle), 3475 nucleotides. RefSeq lists it as uncharacterized. The transcript has 24 exons. Lineage: Eukaryota; Metazoa; Chordata; Mammalia; Chiroptera; Vespertilionidae. The record is from RefSeq and is a predicted model, not a curated record.